UACGAAGGGGGCUAGCGUUGCUCGGAAUCACUGGGCGUAAAGCGCACGUAGGCGGCUUUCUAAGUCAGGGGUGAAAUCCUGGAGCUCAACUCCAGAACUGCCUUUGAUACUGGAAGCUUGAGUCCGGGAGAGGUGAGUGGAACUGCGAGUGUAGAGGUGAAAUUCGUAGAUAUUCGCAAGAACACCAGUGGCGAAGGCGGCUCACUGGCCCGGUACUGACGCUGAGGUGCGAAAGCUAGGGGAGCGAACGGG
RNAcentral lists this ribosomal RNA (252 nucleotides) under uncultured bacterium. RNAcentral describes it as "partial 16S ribosomal RNA". It matches the Rfam family "Bacterial small subunit ribosomal RNA", at positions 524 to 776 of the family's 1533-position model. The record is from RNAcentral.